This 460-nucleotide ribosomal RNA is filed under the name uncultured bacterium. Its description in RNAcentral is "partial 16S ribosomal RNA". It matches the Rfam family "Bacterial small subunit ribosomal RNA", at positions 338 to 795 of the family's 1533-position model. The record is from RNAcentral.
CCUACGGGAGGCAGCAGUGAGGAAUAUUGGUCAAUGGACGAGAGUCUGAACCAGCCAAGUAGCGUGAAGGAUGACUGCCCUAUGGGUUGUAAACUUCUUUUAUAUGGGAAUAAAAUGUUCCACGUGUGGCAUUUUGUAUGUACCAUAUUAAUAAGGAUCGGCUAACUCCGUGCCAGCAGCCGCGGUAAUACGGAGGAUCCGAGCGUUAUCCGGAUUUAUUGGGUUUAAAGGGAGCGUAGGUGGAUUGUUAAGUCAGUUGUGAAAGUUUGCGGCUCAACCGUAAAAUUGCAGUUGAAAAUGGCAGUCUUGAGUACAGUAGAGGUGGGCGGAAUUCGUGGUGUAGCGGUGAAAUGCUUAGAUAUCACGAAGAACUCCGAUUGCGAAGGCAGCUCACUGGACUGCAACUGACACUGAGGCUCGAAAGUGUGGGUAUCAAACAGGAUUAGAUACCCCUGUAGUC